RNAcentral lists this ribosomal RNA (305 nucleotides) under uncultured bacterium. Its description in RNAcentral is "bacterial SSU rRNA". It matches the Rfam family "Bacterial small subunit ribosomal RNA", at positions 334 to 656 of the family's 1533-position model. The record is from RNAcentral.
UUAUCCUACGGGACGCAGCAGUGGGGGAUAUUGCACAAUGGGCGAAAGCCUGGUGCAGCGACGCCGCGUGAGGGAAGACGGUCUUCGGAUUGUAAACCUCUGUCUUUGGGGAAGAAUAGAGACGGUACCCAAAGAGGAAGCUCCGGCUAACUACGUGCCAGCAGCCGCGGUAAUACGUAGGGAGCGAGCGUUGUCCGGAAUUACUGGGUGUAAAGGGAGCGUAGGCGGGCUUGUAAGUUGAAUGUCUAAUCCACCGGCUCAACCGGUGAUCGCGUUCAAAACUGCAGGUCUUGAGUGAAGUAGGG